Alligator mississippiensis (American alligator) is the source of this 1466-nucleotide long non-coding RNA. RefSeq lists it as uncharacterized. The transcript has 2 exons. The record is from RefSeq and is a predicted model, not a curated record. Lineage: Eukaryota; Metazoa; Chordata; Crocodylia; Alligatoridae.
CAGGGGUAGCGGUCGGUCAGGGUUGCGAGAGGGGUGUCGCUCCAUCUGUGUGUGGGAAGAGCUUCACCCACUCCUGCAGCCUGUGAAGAAGUGCGUUCACGCUAGGGUGCCCUCCCCCACACAGCGGACUUCAAGUGACACCCGGGCACUUUUCUUCGCUGCCUCCCAGCUUUCUCCUUCCUCCUGGUCCAGGGGUUCUGGUGUAUGAGCCCUGAGUUGCAGGGAGGAGGAGUGCAUUUAUGGCUGGGGAAGCAUUCCCUACCCUCCUCCCAGACCUCGCCUUUCCUCACCACCACAUCACCCCUCUCCCAGACCUGCCCUGCCCAGUGGGGUCUGCAAGGACCUGCUUCUGCCACCCCCGGAGCCUUUUUGGCCUGUUUUGCUUUUCAGCCUGUGCAGAGCUGUGCCCCGCGGGGUGCGUGCUGCUCCCCUGCCCUCCUCCCCUUCGCUGGAUUCUCUCUCAUGCGUUCCCUGCUACUAAAGCCCAGAACUGGACGUGCCCCCCCUGCGGUUGAUCUCUGUGUCCUCUCCCGAGCUGUGCAGUGGGAACAGGCCUGGGCCCACAACCUUUCCAGGGCAGAUCUCUCUGUGACUUCCCAGCCCCUUCCCUUUCUAAAUGAUCCACCACAAUCCAGAGGUUGUUGCUAACCCUGGGAGCAGGACGGGGUCUGAUCCACCCACCCUGCUGCUGCCUGACUGGCUGCUCCCACCCCUUGUGCCCUCUUCCCACAGCAGGACACGGAGCUGGGUGAGCCAGCACCACAGCGUGAGCAAGUCUGGGCGAGCAAGUGGCAAGUGGCUCAACAGGUGCCCCAAGCCAGCACCGUCUGGCCUGUUCCUGCCCUCACCCACCACAGCCACCCAUCGGCACCAUGGAGUAGGACACCGAGAGGGCACCGAAUCAUCAAACCCGGGACUGGAAGAGACGUCGGGGCCGUCCAGUCACCCCCUGCUCGAGGCAGGAUCACCCCUACAAACCCGGCCAGCCAAGCAUCGACCCUGCUCUCACGCCUUGGCAAGCAUGGAGAUUGCACAACUCUCUGGGUAGCCCGUUUCCAUGCUCACAAAAACCUAAAAAAAUCACCCUCAUAUAGUGCGAAAGGUCUUGUAUCGAACCUAAAUGUCCCCUGCUGCAAUUCUUGAUUUCCUCUGAGUCUGUUUCUGUGGCUGAAGAAAACAGGACACGUCUCUGUCCUCUCCAUGGCCACCGCUCAGGGAUUUGAAGACAUCGAGCUCUCGAGGACUAAUCUCAGGACACAGUCGCUCAACCAAGAUCCGUCCGUCUUCCAGUCCGUUCAUCUAAAACGAAAGAGAUAGUGCCGUUAUGGUUAAGGAACCAGGCAGGAAAGGUAAAAUGAGGAUGGCAGAGGAGCACUACCUCAAGGCGCAGUAAGCAUGUGAUAUCCAUGAAAGAUCCUCUUCAGCCGCAGCUCUGGUGCACAGACAAUAAAUGGUGUUUGUUAGGA